GGGUUGCUUGUAAAUGCAGCCUUAAGAUAGGUGGUAAACUCCAUCUAAAGCUAAAUACCCCCACGAGACCGAUAGCUAACAAGUACCGCGAGGGAAAGUUGAAAAGGACUCUGAAGAGAGAGUUCAAGAGAGCGUGAAACUACCACGAGCCUAAAGCGAGUGAGCGUUCGUACCCGAAGGGAAAGACGACAAACUGAGCCCCAAGUGCCGUUCUGUGGGGUCGCGAGUCCGCGCCUUAAAUGGAUCUAUCCCGAAGUCGCAGGCCUCAGCGUCUCGGCUUCGUGGGUAGACCGGCGUUCCCUCCUGGGCGGUAUGUAAGGUGCUUGUCUUAUUCCUUAGUACGGCGUCGUGGCCGUUUGAGAGGUGUCGAAGACCCGGGGGUCUGGGAAACCGUAUCUUCUGGGCGUUCCCACUAAAGUCUCUGUUCGGCUACUACGG
Molecule: ribosomal RNA, 438 nt
Filed under: Hemilepistus schirasi
Lineage: Eukaryota; Metazoa; Arthropoda; Malacostraca; Isopoda; Agnaridae
Description: partial large subunit ribosomal RNA
Rfam family: Eukaryotic large subunit ribosomal RNA
Source: RNAcentral